UCUUAUUGGAAUCGUGUGUUUUCUCGUAUC
Molecule: non-coding RNA, 30 nt
Filed under: Mus musculus (house mouse)
Lineage: Eukaryota; Metazoa; Chordata; Mammalia; Rodentia; Muridae
Source: RNAcentral